CGGUGUUCAACUGGCGUGCCCGCGGGACGUCCUGCCGGUGAGCUCAUCCCGCGAGGGCGGCUCAACUUGAAAUCCCAUCGCGGUGCUCUUCAUUGAGUGUCGAGGUGGGCCGGCACGAUAACUUUUGAACAAAUUAUAGUGCUUAAAGCAGGCUAAAAUUUUGCCUGAAUACUGUGUAUAUGGAAUAAUGGAAUAGGACCUCGGUUUCUAUUUUGUUGGUUUUCGGAACCCCCGAGGUAAUGAUAAAAAGGAACGGAGGGGGGCAUUCUUAUUGCGACAUUAGAGGUGAAAUUCUUGGAUCGUCGCAAGACGGACUAAAGCGAAAGCAUUUGCCAAAAACGCUUUCAUUGAUCAAGAAAGAAAGUUAGAGGUUCGAAGGCGAUCAGAUACCGCCCUAGUUCUAACCAUAAACUAUGCCAGCUAGCGAUCCGCCGACGUCCCUCUGAUGACUCGGCGGGCAGCUUCCGGGAAACCAAAGCUUUUGGGUUCCGGGGGAAGUAUGGUUGCAAAGCUGAAACUUAAAGGAAUUGACGGAAGGGCACCCCCAGGAGUGGAGCCUGCGGCUUAAUUUGACUCAACACGGGGAAACCUCCCCAGGCCCAGACACUGGAAGGAUUGACAGAUUGAGAGCUCUUUCUUGAUUCAGUGGGUGGUGGUGCAUGGCCGUUUUUAGUCGGUGGAGCGAUUUGUCAGGUUAAUUCCGAUAACGGACGAGACUCUGACCUGAUAACUAGACGCACUUGCGGCAUCUCAAAGGUCCGCCGGCGGCUGGCUUUGCGCCCGUCGUCGCGCGCGAUUUUUACUGCCGGCGUACAAUAAAUUCUUCUUAGAGGGACAAGUGG
This 842-nucleotide ribosomal RNA is filed under the name uncultured eukaryote. RNAcentral's name for it is "SSU rRNA". It matches the Rfam family "Eukaryotic small subunit ribosomal RNA", at positions 635 to 1426 of the family's 1831-position model. The record is from RNAcentral.